GGCCGCCUGGCGAAAUGGCAUCGCGUCUGACUACGAUAGUCGGGUACGUCGCGAAAUUAUCGAGAUCAGGAGAUUGCAGGUUCGACCCCUGCGGUGGUCA
RNAcentral lists this transfer RNA (100 nucleotides) under Marasmius sp. AFHP31. RNAcentral describes it as "tRNA-Arg". It matches the Rfam family "tRNA". Rfam says of the family: Transfer RNA (tRNA) molecules are approximately 80 nucleotides in length. Their secondary structure includes four short double-helical elements and three loops (D, anti-codon, and T loops). Lineage: Eukaryota; Fungi; Basidiomycota; Agaricomycetes; Agaricales; Marasmiaceae. The record is from RNAcentral.